Molecule: long non-coding RNA, 567 nt
Filed under: Cyanistes caeruleus (blue tit)
Lineage: Eukaryota; Metazoa; Chordata; Aves; Passeriformes; Paridae
Description: lncRNA (ENSCCEG00000010316.1)
Source: RNAcentral
AUGCAACAGCCAGUUCCAGCAGAGCUGGGCAGAAAGCCACAGACUACAGGCAGGUCCAUCUUCAGCACAAUGGGCAAAGCAGCCACCUCCUCCUGUACUCAGUACCAUGGGGACCUGAACCAACCUGCCUGCACAGCAUCUGGAAUAAAGCUUAUGCAAGAACAGAGAACAGUUUCAAAACAUGGCAUUCCAGGCUUAAAAACAAAGAGAUACAUGCCGGCACAGGAGGUUCCAAAGAAGGACUUUGUCUCAAGGAGGUCGAAUCCUGUUGCAUUCUUCUGGGGACCCACUGGAGAGAGGAGCAGUCCCUCCAAGCAUGCCAGUGGUGGCAGGAAAGAAAGGAGAGAGAAAACCUCAUUUAUAUCAGGUAGCUUCUCUGCUACUCCUAAGUCAGGCAUGCAUUGCUCAUUUAAACGUGUAGGAGUGCAAACAGGAGGAAGGGCUAAAAACAAAGGGUGCACCUGGCAGCCUGGGAAUCUCUCCUCAUAAACCUAAACCUGUGCUGGGCUGUCUGCAUCCUGUCAUCCAGGUAAAAGGAAUCAAAUAAAAAAAAAAAUUUAAAAAUCA